AGUGAACGCUGGCGGUAGGCCUAACACAUGCAAGUCGAACGGCAGCACAGUAAGAGCUUGCUCUUACGGGUGGCGAGUGGCGGACGGGUGAGGAAUACAUCGGAAUCUACUUUUUCGUGGGGGAUAACGUAGGGAAACUUACGCUAAUACCGCAUACGACCUACGGGUGAAAGCAGGGGAUCUUCGCACCUUGCGCGAUUGUAUGAGCCGAUGUCGGAUUAGCUAGUUGGCGGGGUAAAGGCCCACCAAGGCGACGAUGCGUAGCUGGUCUGAGAGGAUGAUCAGCCACACUGGAACUGAGACACGGUCCAGACUCCUACGGGAGGCAGCAGUGGGGAAUAUUGGACAAUGGGCGCAAGCCUGAUGCAGCCAUACCGCGUGAGUGAAGAAGGCCUUCGGGUUGUAAAGCCCUUUUGUUGGGAAAGAAAAGCAGCAGGUUAAUACCCCGCUGUUCUGACGGUACCCAAAGAAUAAGCACCGGCUAACUUCGUG
This 492-nucleotide ribosomal RNA is filed under the name uncultured bacterium. Its description in RNAcentral is "partial 16S ribosomal RNA". It matches the Rfam family "Bacterial small subunit ribosomal RNA", at positions 29 to 507 of the family's 1533-position model. The record is from RNAcentral.